UGCAGUCGACGGCAGCAUGGGCUUCGGCCUGAUGGCGAGUGGCGAACGGGUGAGUAAUACAUCGGAACGUGCCUAGUAGUGGGGGAUAACUACUCGAAAGAGUAGCUAAUACCGCAUGAGAUCUAAGGAUGAAAGCAGGGGACCUUCGGGCCUUGCGCUACUAGAGCGGCCGAUGGCAGAUUAGGUAGUUGGUGGGAUAAAAGCUUACCAAGCCGACGAUCUGUAGCUGGUCUGAGAGGACGACCAGCCACACUGGGACUGAGACACGGCCCAGACUCCUACGGGAGGCAGCAGUGGGGAAUUUUGGACAAUGGGCGCAAGCCUGAUCCAGCAAUGCCGCGUGCAGGAUGAAGGCCUUCGGGUUGUAAACUGCUUUUGUACGGAACGAAAAGCUUCUGGUUAAUACCUGGGAGUCAUGACGGUACCGUAAGAAUAAGCACCGGCUAACUACGUGCCAGCAGCCGCGGUAAUACGUAGGGUGCGAGCGUUAAUCGGAAUUACUGGGCGUAAAGCGUGCGCAGGCGGUUAUGUAAGACAGAGGUGAAAUCCCCGGGCUCAACCUGGGAACUGCCUUUGUGACUGCAUGGCUAGAGUGCGGCAGAAGGGGAUGGAAUUCCCCGUGUAGCAGUGAAAUGCGU
This 638-nucleotide ribosomal RNA is filed under the name uncultured bacterium. RNAcentral's name for it is "bacterial SSU rRNA". It matches the Rfam family "Bacterial small subunit ribosomal RNA", at positions 56 to 691 of the family's 1533-position model. The record is from RNAcentral.